GACGAACGCUGGCGGCGUGCUUAACACAUGCAAGUCGAACGGAAAGGCCCUGCUUUUGUGGGGUGCUCGAGUGGCGAACGGGUGAGUAACACGUGAGUAACCUGCCCUUGACUUUGGGAUAACUUCAGGAAACUGGGGCUAAUACCGGAUAGGAGCUCCCGCUGCAUGGUGGGGGUUGGAAAGUUUCGGCGGUUGGGGAUGGACUCGCGGCUUAUCAGCCUGUUGGUGGGGUAGUGGCUUACCAAGGCUUUGACGGGUAGCCGGCCUGAGAGGGUGACCGGCCACAUUGGGACUGAGAUACGGCCCAGACUCCUACGGGAGGCAGCAGUGGGGAAUAUUGCACAAUGGGCGGAAGCCUGAUGCAGCAACGCCGCGUGCGGGAUGACGGCCUUCGGGUUGUAAACCGCUUUCGCCUGUGACGAAGCGUGAGUGACGGUAAUGGGUAAAGAAGCACCGGCUAACUACGUG
Molecule: ribosomal RNA, 468 nt
Filed under: uncultured bacterium
Lineage: Bacteria
Description: partial 16S ribosomal RNA
Rfam family: Bacterial small subunit ribosomal RNA
Source: RNAcentral